AGUUUCAUGAGUCAGACUGGGCUGUUGGGAGUUUCUUCCAAAGAUGUACAUGUUGGUUGAAAACCGCACAAGUUCCCAUCUUCACCUGAAGAGGUCACCUGGCAUUCGAUCUUGGUCUCUCUUUGUUGGAAUAGCCUCCAUAGGUUUGGCUGCUGCUUACUAUAGUGCAGACAGCCUGGCAUGGAAGCUCUUCUAUAUGUCCGGGUGUUUCUUUGUGGCAGCACAAAAUCUGGACCAGUGGGAGGAAGCUGUAUUUGAUAAGAACAAGGGAACAGUCUGCCUAAAAACAUUCAAUCUUUACAAAAAAAUACUGACCUUCUCAAAAGGAGGCAAUGAACAAGUAGUGGCUCUACUGAAUGAGAUCCGAGAUGUGAAUGUGGAAGAGGAGACUGUGCGAUAUUUUGGGAAGGGUUACCUGGUGGUGCUACGAUUUGUCACUGGAUUUUCACACCCACUGACUCAGAGUGCAGUGUUGGGCUGCAGAAGUGAUGUGGAAGCGGUUGCCAAACUCAUUACUAGUUUUCUGGAACUGGACAGGGUAGAGAGCCAACAAGAUCUCUCUCAGAGCAGCGAAACAGAGGCUAGUGAUGAAGAUGAACCACAGGAUAAAUAUUAAUAGUCAUCAUGACCUGAAGAAAGCAGAGGCUUUCAAACAUCUGGAAAACAGACUGAUUGUUCGUCAGAAAAAUAAACCCCUCUCACUCUUGACCUGGGCAUUUCUCUACAUGUGCAUUUCCAAUGGGAGGAAUCUGUUUUAGGGCACCUUUUUUUAGUGCUAAACUGCUUCAAGAUCCAUGCUCACAGUAUUGCCAUUGUAGAGUCCAAAGCAAAUUCUGUUUUAUUUGCUCCUUUGACUUAGCCCCUGCAUGUGGACAUUGCUGGCUUCUGAACUUUGCCAGCUCAUCAAACUUGUCUAGGAAUAGUUAUUUAUUAAUGAAUUGGUUUGAAAUCACUUAUUGAUUUCCCAUUAAUGAAGUGAAGAUACAGAUGUAAGUUUCCACUUACUGCAAACAUCUGCUGCAGCAAAUUUCUUCUGGCAGCAGUUUCUUCAGGACUUGAAAGAACCUGCAUUCUUCUUUCAAAGUGUUCUGCCUCUACAGAAGAGAAAGCUCUGAAAAGUUUUCAGCAGAAGCUAUGUCCUGUUGUGUGUUCCAGCUGCAUCUGCAACUAAGCACGUGCUUACCUGACCAAAGAACAGCUUGUACCAAGAUUUCACUUCCAGCCAUUUAGACCCACUAUGUGAGCUGUGAGACAAAGAUGCUCUGACUGUUGGUUUGGAUGGAUAAUCAAACUGGAACAGGGAGAUAGCUGUGAUGCAGCUUGACUGCAGCACAGAAGUGGGUCUAUUGCUAUUAAAUAAGAAAUUUGCAAUCACAUCAGGUAUCAAAGCAGACCUCUGCUAGUAGAUGUGCUUGUGAAGUCCUCAGAGUUGGUGAGUUAAUUGUGUGGCUUUCUGGCCCACAUCACUGGAAUUGGGAAGCUGUGAUGUAUGAAUGUGGGAAAUUAGGUUGCAAGCAAUUAGCUAAAUUUGGCCUUUAUUCUGAAGCACAGCUGUGAGCUAAGAAUAAUCAUCAAACCUGUUUAAAAAAAAAAAACAAACUGCAGGAUGUAACAUUGGAGAGAUCUUAAUUUAAAUCCACUCUAAUAUAUACCCUAGGUAACACUCGUUUUGGAGAGAGGAGAAUGAGAUUGGGAAUUUGGAGAACUCUUCCUCCCCUACCACCAUGUAAAAUGAGAAUGUCAAGUAUUAAAGACUUCCAGUAAGAAAUACUGAAAAAAAUAGAGUAUUUAAUGGAAUAAUGUAAGCAAAAGGGCUCAACCAGCAGAUAACUACUGCUUUCUAGCAAGGAUAUUGGGAGGGAGUACAUGGUACUGAUGUGCAUUGCACUUAACAUUCUGAGCCUACAGGUUUGACCAUGGAUGAAACAGAAAAAACUGCCUGUGCUCAAUCCUGGCUAUACUGGGUUUCUUCUGUAUUUUCAUGAGCGCUAACAUUCCGUGGAAGAUACAAACCAUGCUGUGGUUUUCCAGUUAAAAAUCAGCUUCAGAAAGGUACAUCUGUUGAUCUAACUCUGCACUGCAUUGUGUGCCCUGCUUCUGCUGAGCUCUUUUGUGCAUCUAGCUUGCUGUACAUUCUUGAUCUUAGUAAUGUAUACAUACAUUAUGACUAUGGCUAUGCAAUAUCAUUAUACAAAGGUUAAACCAAUGUAAAAAUCAGAACCCCUAGAAAGGAGAAUGACCUAUAGUAAGAUAUAACAUAGCUUGAAAUAUGGUCUGUGGAGGAAGUUGCUUUUUGAGUUGAUGUCGAAUGUUCCAUCUUUUUAAAGAUGUUCUGUAGGGUCCCCCUCACACCUCGCUAUCCUGCUGAUGGUAGGCUGGAGGGGGAUCGAACUGCUGGCAUGCACUGUGUGUAUGAGGAAUAUUUGACUCCUCAGCCUUUCACUUGGAACAGCUGGUGUAAAUCCUCUCUUGUCCCAGGUCUGUUUCGCAUUUGGCAGCUUUGUUGCCAUACAGACUAGCUCAAUUUUACAUGAGAACCUGAGUUCUGUAGACUGAGCAAUGGGAAGGCUGACCGUGAAUCCUGCAGAUGCUGUGGGUUCUGCCUGCGGGCUGUAUGCCAGGCACUGCUGGCUUGGCAUGUACAGCUCGAGCUUCCUGUGGUGCUGACCUAUGGUGCAGGUAAAGAACGUCAAUGACUUGGCACUGGGCUGCCGCGCACCAAUGUGUAUCACAGGCUGAUGUGUAUUUCUCCUGAUCUAGGUUUUAAGCUUCUUAUCUUCAAAAACUGAUUGUUUGUCUUUUGUACUUGUAAGACAUACAUACCCAGAUUUUCAUGUUUUGCAGUAACUGUGUGUGUGGAAAAUUAACUUGUAAAUUGCUGUUAAUAUGGAUUUGGUUCUGGCAACAUCUGCAGGCUCCUUAGUGAUGUGAUGCAGCUUGAAGGAACUGUCCAGAAGAGCAGGUGCUAACUUGGGACAGGUUCUGCCCUUCCCUCUUUCCACUAGUUGUCUCUGAUCCUCUUUUCCUGCCACUUUUCACCAUUUUGCUGAGGGUUUUUUUGGAUAGUUCUCCUCACUUCUCUUGGAGAGAUCUUAGCAUGUCAAAAGGCCCAGUAGACAAAGCUGUAUGUGUGCCUGAUGUAAAGUGGCUUGUACUAAAAGGAAUGAUGUGAAAGACUAGUUUUGGUUAGGAAAUUAGAUACUCCUAGAACAGUAUUACAAGAGAUGUAGUUAAGAUUUUUGUAUCUCAGGCUGUCAAGUAACUUGCAUCUGGACAGCUGUAGUAUGACUUAGAAAGGAUUUGAAAACCUGCAUAGAAGUUCUUAAACUAGAUCUAACCCCUUGCUCCAUAAAGCCACCAUUUGCUAUUAUGUCUGUUAAUGUAACUAUGGUAAGUGCUGUUUGGCAGAUGCUUCAGCUUAAAUGCGAGUAGCGCAUUUGAAGUUUCUUGUAUGUGUGGUUGGAUGGGAUCGCAGCCUUAGCUGUCACACUGAACAAAAGCUGGACUGCAUUUGUACAAAGGGAGAAAGCUGUAUUAUCUCUGCUAUAACUUAAUGUUCUGAUAUUUCAUGGAAUGAGAUAUUCCAGUAAGUAGGAUCAAUUGUGCAAAUCUCAAAGAAAAUCAAAGUAUUUAUACUAUAUAGCUGAGAUCGGACUCUUGGGCUGUAUUCAUAAAGUUACACAGACACCAAAACCGAAGCUGGCUUACAUAGUAAAGAGUGCUAGUUCUGAUGCGGUAGUAGAUCGCUGAGAGGUAAAAAUACUUCUGGAAAAUGUUUAGAAAUUGCUUUUCUACUUUAAAAUUGCAAGUAGAAUUCAGCAAGGCCUUGUAUGUUGU
Molecule: RNA transcript, 3837 nt
Organism: Egretta garzetta (little egret)
Lineage: Eukaryota; Metazoa; Chordata; Aves; Pelecaniformes; Ardeidae
Gene name: cytochrome b-245 chaperone 1
Exons: 7
Source: RefSeq, a predicted model, not a curated record